UAAAUAGGAGUGAAAAAUAAAAUUAACAAAUCUCCUAAAAGAUUGUAAAAAUAAAAACAACAAACCUAGCUAAAUAAAAAUUACAAAUCUACCUAAAAUAUAAAAAUAACGAACCUAGGUGAAAUAUAAAAAUAAGAAAUCAACCUAAAAUAUAAUAAAACUAAAUCUAACUAAAAUAAUAAUAUACAGAAGAAAUCCUCCUACAUCAGUCUCCUCUACCUCAAAAGAACUCGACCCCGAGUUCUCGUUUUGAUAAAGAACUUCCUUUGCAGGUUGACUCCUCCAAUGAACAAGAGACCACCCUCCUGGAUCACAUUGAAUGAAGUGAGAGGACCUGUCUCGUGUCAACACAUCCAAAUGACCACCGGGGUUCCAUUGCUCAAAGAUAGCACACAAAAUU
RNAcentral lists this long non-coding RNA (400 nucleotides) under Trifolium pratense (red clover). RNAcentral's name for it is "long non-coding RNA (TPRA_LNC012180)". The record is from RNAcentral. Lineage: Eukaryota; Viridiplantae; Streptophyta; Magnoliopsida; Fabales; Fabaceae.